UAAUGUAGGUCGGCUCUUCAUUACUCAAAAUAUAACAAGAUGUACCAGUCCAAUAAGGCAGAGGGUGCACUACUUAUUAACUAUCGUAGUAUAUAAGGGAUCAUCCUAACCCAGGGGGUCCUGCCAAAUCCCCCCAAAUGCUCCUUUGAUCAUCUCAGAGAUCUGGAUGGUACAAGGGACACCUCGAAACAAUAUGUGAUAACGACAUGAUUGGGGACACGCGACAAACAAAGGACACCCGCGGUGGAGUGGUCAACACGCUAAUCCCCGGAUAGCGCUAAACAAACUGACCACUUAUCAAUGACCACGCCCCACCCAUCUGGACCUUUUGAUAUCCACUGUGUGAGAAAACGACACUAAAAUAAUUAGGUAGGCCAUGUUGGGUGGACCUAGUACGGUUCAGCACAGGGCUACAGUGGUUCAAAGUUCAAAUUACAUGUAGUAUACCACGCUCUACAAACCUUUCAUUAGCAUAUCCGUGCAGCUCACUCUAAAAGUUUCUUUGAGAAAAACAAAAUGCUUUCAAAUUAUGUCUUUCUUUUAUGGGAAACUUUGAACCUUUUGAUUAGAAAUGGAAUAACAUUUCUUUGGUGCUGUCUUUCUUGUGUUGAUCGUUUAGAUUUGAAGUUUGUGGUUUAACGGAAAACCAUUAUGUCACUUCGCAACUAUGCAAACUAUUCGGCUGAUUCAGAUUACACGUAGUGUUAUCACCAGCUUGUACCGGUGCUGGACAUUUACAAGAGUACAAAAUUGCACUUAUUUUUGCUUUCUUCUCCCCCCUUUCCCCUCUCUCGAUGAUGUGCUGAAACAUCCCGGAGUAACGUUAAAUCGUUCGAAGUCUAACGUUACAUUACAGGAUCAGGUAGUCUCUAUUUACUACUAAUUGAUGAUCGUAUUUACCGAAAUAACUUACUUGAAAACAGGACAUAAUGUAACUGUAAUAUUACGUCUUUCUGUGUUUUAUUUUCUUUCAGCUUUUGGAUGAUUGAAUACUGUGUUUUAUUCUGUUUCUGACCUUGUGUAGUGUAGUGUGAAGUCAUGGUGUGAAGUGUUUCCAAGACCUUGCCUAGAUAGAGAGCAAGUCGGAAUACAAAAGAAGAGGAUACGAAAAUAUAACUAUUCGUUGGCUUCAUCCUAACAAUAAAUUUCUACAUGUCUGACGACAUCUAGACGUUAAUGAACUUUAAAAUCUUACACGUCCGGACCCCAGACAGCACAGUUCACAGGUCCGGAACAGAACCAUUCCCAGAUUCUGGUCAGUCUCGCACUGCUGCAGACGACAGGUUCUGAGGCGGCGCGUGGUGCAGUAUGUGUAGAUGUGGGGAGCAUGCUGAUUCUAAAUUCGGUAAAUCAAUGUUUCUGGACCUUCGCCACCACGGCACUCGGUCGCAGUGCAGUUUUUAUUUCCUCCGCUUUUCAAGCUCUCCCGGCACGUUUUGCAAUUUGAGGGCGCGCGCUCAUGUUUGCUCCCUAAGCAGAUGAGUGACAGUCAGGCUCGCGCCAGCCAAUCAGAGCGCGCGACACGGGGAAGCCUCACCCACCUUCUCCUAAUAUGCCAUCAGUAGGGAGAAUUGACUGUCCGUCUGCGGCACAGUUGUCCUUUGCUCCAGUGACACUGUCGUUCCCAUGACGUUAUCCGCAACCGUCCGACUUUUCUUAAUCCUCAUAUGUCUCUGCUCCGUUUGAAACAGAACGGUGGUGAGAUCGCGGCCACGUUGGCUCGGAGAGAGGGAAAAUGUCUGGGGCUGCCCGGAGCGGACACGCGCUUUCUCACGUGUGCGUCGGGUUCAACUGUCUCGUGAACCGGCUGGGAGCACCAGGUCAUCAACUGCUGACUGUGGUCUGGCUCAAACCAAUGCUGGACACCGGUAUGUGUAAUAUUUCGUACAAGAUCAUGUCAGCGACGUUACACGGCGAGGGAGAAACCGUCAGGAGAGACCGAUAACUCGAAGAGAACCCGGACGAGGGGAGACUGCAGGAGAAUAGUCAUCACUUCUCCGCCAUAUAAGAGUACAUGGCAUUCUGCCAGCCGCGACCUGCCUGGGACGUGAAACGCAUAUGGGUGGGUUUACCACUAUGUUAUGGAAGGUACCAACUAAGAUUGUAGCCGGCACGUCACACCUUAACUUGCCCUUUGACGUGUACCCUCUUCUGGUGUCUAGAUUGUUCCCGGGACGGCUUAUAUUGACAUGCAAACCCAGCCGGUAGAGGACUUACCCGUAACUAGACUUCCCGCCGAUCGAAUGUAACUUCCCUAAUCUCCAGCGUUGGGCCGACGGACGGGACGUCUACCUGCCUGUACAAAAAGUUGGAGGGGUUGUCAUAUUCAUGUUUCUGCGAUCACGACGCGACGCACAGAAUGGCUCGUCUUUUUUGUCUAGAAGAAGGAGGAAGAAAUGGCGAAGGUUUCUCUUGUGUUGGCGGGACUUGUGUGGAGGAUAUUGCGGCGCACGUUGUGCGUUGCGGUGGCGGGGCGGGGCUGGACGCUGAGCGACACCAGACAGAACGUACGUGACUUGGCUGCGGCGGCGAACCGAGACAUUUAGUUCCUAUCAGCCGCUGCGAGAGGCUUACAGGGCCGGGGGACUGCACAUUUCACCCUGUUUUCAGCCAGAAAAAUAUCCCCCGCACCUCGCGUUCCACUGUGAGAUGGCUAUCGUUCAGGUUCAUUUUCUAACCUUGCUGCUUUUCGUCAUUCUAGUCACGUAGAGAGGAAUGGUAACCGCCAUCAACAUGGUGAGUCUAGAAUCGCUGCAAUUCGUGAGUUUUCACGCCUAUCUUCGAGCCGGACACUCUUACUUCUUAAGUCGGACGAUCCUCCAAGGAACCAAGAACGUACAAAAAAGGUGGGCCCGGCUGAUUUUUCCCCUAUUACUUAAUGAGACGUGCACAGCUGACGGGGAGUUUCAAGCGUCCCAGGAUUUAUGGUACGGACAUUUGCUGGGCAGGUUCAAGUAUGAAACUAUCGCAAGUAUUCGGUCUGUCGUCUAGCGCUCAGACGGCGACAGGCGCCUUCUCCUUCAAUCCUGCAAGGAAAAUCCACCCUCCCAAGAAGGAGGGAACCCAGAAGGUACGUCUUGGGAGGGUCUUGAGAUGCACACGAACAUGAAACGAUCAAUGGCUGCCUGGAUAGUCCGAGAUGGCCGCAUGGUGGUCUGUCUGCAAGGACCCGCUCCAAAAUGGCCAGGGCGAAAAACUAGGUCUUGUUCUCCUCUGUGAGUCACUCCUAAGCCAUGCAGGUCACCAGAGGGCCAGGUGAACCCAGUGGUACAGACACCUGUACAGCCACCAAACUCUGGGGGCCCUGCUCUCAGGGGAUGGUAGCCUGGAUCUCCAGUCAGCAAAGGGAAAGCCGCCCCAUCCUGUCCUCAGAUAAAGCCGGCUGCCAUAAACCCGUAGAUCCGAACUUGUGUUGCUUCAGUUCACAAGCUCGUGUCUAUGGGUCUAUGUCAUCAGGGCAACAUCUGCACGUGCAGUAAGUACACACCACAGCUCUCUGUACCCCUCACAGAUAGCUCAAAUUCUGGAGAAAACCUAUUUUUUCAUUUUUUUGUUGUUUUUAACAACUGCCAUUCCCCCAGCUUGAUGGUGACCCUGCCCUGUGCAGUUACAGGCAUCGGCUUGACUUCUGUAUGGCCCUGAGGUGAGGUAGUAGGUUGUAUAGUUCAGAAGUACAACAUUGGAGAUGACUGUACAACCCGUUACCUUUUUUCGGGUCAUACCACGCUUCUGGACCUCUUGAGUCGCCAUCAACGUUUGUUCGACUUUCUUUGUUGCCAUAGAUGCCAGAUUGUUUGUCUGUACCCCCUUGUUUUUUUUGUGUAAGAUGAUGUAGUGAUUUUGCAUGCUGCCACAUGCCUUAGAUUUGCUCAAAACAACAUCUUAAUUGGUCUUAAUUACACAAAUAGAAUCAAGAAAUAGGAGAAAAAAAAGCACAUCCGAUACAAUUUAGUACUUCCACACACUGAUGUAAGUAUAUGCAUCAUAUGUUGUCUUAACAGAAAAAUACACAUGGUUUUCAGCACUAGCAUAUAUACAUAUUUUUAAUUGUCUUGGUGGCACAUAGAAAAUAGUAAGUUGUUGUUUUGUAAUAUAAAUAUUUUCCUGGACGUACUUCUAAAACUUGUGCUUUCACAUUUAACUGCCAUUCUUUUUUCUCAAAACUUGCAUGGACAUUCUACACUCAGAUGAAUCAAGAUAGGCUCUAAAUUAAUGUCUGUUGGAAGCAAGCGUCUAGUUUUGCUGAGGAGCAUUCUGGUAGUUGUAAUUAUAGAGGUGCUCAAGCAAACCACCUAACAUGUAAUUGUUGCACACAUAUUUUCCAGUCUAUUCUCAUGUACUUGUGCCACAUUAUUGUAAUGUUAGACUUACAAAAGGAGGCAGAAAUGAUUAGUUUUCCAGCAGUUGUCUAGCCCUAGUCUGAGGUGCAAAGUGUUUGCAUCCAUUUUUGCAAACGGAGUGCCACAUAUAGAAGCAGUUGGCAUGGUUGUUACAGGGCAGUAUGCUGGGGGGCAGGGGAGAUCACCAGGUCAGCCGUACAGUCUGGUGGAAAUGAAAGAGGAUAAGUGACACAUGACAGCUAGCCAAGCAGAUAGACACAACUACUACCCCUCGUUCUGGUCUUACAUCCAAGCAUGUAGUGCUUCUCCAGCUGCAUUGUCUACGCCAUGGUGCUGUGGUUGAUGCAAAAUUAAAGUUAUUUUUGGCACCUGAGGAAAAGUUUUGAACUCCUUCUGCAAAUGAAACAUGUUGGCAUUUCUCUGCCACUUGAUUGAAGUCUUGCCAGGGGGUGUGUUUUGGUGUGGACAAAAGACAGAGAAGAACCAUUUCACAAUCACAGCAGAGUAAUCGUAUUGCAGUUAUUCAGUGCUGUAAGUAACACUACUAAUCCAUGUAACAAGC
This is a long non-coding RNA of Branchiostoma floridae (Florida lancelet), 4902 nucleotides long. RefSeq lists it as uncharacterized. The transcript has 3 exons. NCBI's taxonomy places the organism in Eukaryota, Metazoa, Chordata, Leptocardii, Amphioxiformes, Branchiostomatidae. The record is from RefSeq and is a predicted model, not a curated record.